GGGGAAUAUUGGACAAUGGGGGCAACCCUGAUCCAGCAAUGCCGCGUGUGUGAAGAAGGUCUUCGGAUUGUAAAGCACUUUCGACGGGGACGAUGAUGACGGUACCCGUAGAAGAAGCCCCGGCUAACUUCGUGCCAGCAGCCGCGGUAAUACGAAGGGGGCUAGCGUUGCUCGGAAUGACUGGGCGUAAAGGGCGUGUAGGCGGUUUACACAGUCAGAUGUGAAAUCCCCGGGCUUAACCUGGGAGCUGCAUUUGAUACGUGUAGACUAGAGUGUGAGAGAGGGUUGUGGAAUUCCCAGUGUAGAGGUGAAAUUCGUAGAUAUUGGGAAGAACACCGGUGGCGAAGGCGGCAACCUGGCUCAUGACUGACGCUGAGGCGCGAAAGCGUGGGGAGCAAACAGGUUAGAUACCCUGGUAGUCCACGCUGUAAACGAUGUGUGCUAGAUG
This 448-nucleotide ribosomal RNA is filed under the name uncultured bacterium. Its description in RNAcentral is "partial 16S ribosomal RNA". It matches the Rfam family "Bacterial small subunit ribosomal RNA", at positions 356 to 822 of the family's 1533-position model. The record is from RNAcentral.